This 492-nucleotide ribosomal RNA is filed under the name uncultured bacterium. RNAcentral describes it as "partial 16S ribosomal RNA". It matches the Rfam family "Bacterial small subunit ribosomal RNA", at positions 29 to 507 of the family's 1533-position model. The record is from RNAcentral.
AGUGAACGCUGGCGGUAGGCCUAACACAUGCAAGUCGAACGGCAGCACAGUAAGAGCUUGCUCUUACGGGUGGCGAGUGGCGGACGGGUGAGGAAUACAUCGGAAUCUACUUUUUCGUGGGGGAUAACGUAGGGAAACUUACGCUAAUACCGCAUACGACCUACGGGUGAAAGCAGGGGAUCUUCGGACCUUGCGCGAUUGAAUGAGCCGAUGUCGGAUUAGCUAGUUGGCGGGGUAAAGGCCCACCAAUGCGACGAUCCGUAGCUGGUCUGAGAGAAUGAUAAGCCACACUGGAACUGAGACACGGUCCAGACUCCUACGGGAGGCAGCAGUGGGGAAUAUUGGACAAUGGGCGCAAGCCUGAUCCAGCAAUACCGCGUGGGUGAAGAAGGCCGUCGGGUUGUAAAGCCCUUUUGUUGGGAAAGAAAAGCAGCAGGUUAUAACCCCGCUGCUCUGACGGUACCCAAAGAAUAAGCACCGGCUAACUUCGUG